UCUUGUUGUCUUCUUUGUGGUUUGCUCCAGGAGCCACAUCCAGUUGUUGAUCAUGUGACGUGAUGGAAAAGAAGUGUUUCCAUUCCAGUAUUGCAAAAUAAAUAAAUUUUAAUAUGGCCAGAAAACCACUUCACUCUUGCACCAAAACUUUUUAGUGAAAAACAAGAAUUUUUUCGAAAUUGCUAUGUUGCCAUUAAGCAAAUUUAUUUUCAUAAUGUCGAAUUUCGCAGCAAAUGUCACUUGUGCCUCAUUUUCACUGAGCGGUUGGUGAGAUUUGACUAGGGUCAUCAAGGCACUUGACCUUGGCCUUAGUAUUGACUGAUGUUUGAUGUGCAGCUAGCAAGCCUUCAUAGGGAAUUCCUGUGUUUGUUGUGCGGCCCUGUGUCUGAAGAAAGGGAACCCUGGGGCAGCGGUGUGAGAUAACACUGUUGAUGAUACAACCCUGGGUUUCAGUCCAGUUACAGAUAUUGGUUUUUCUGUGAAACCCACCGUGCAUUUUGCUCCAUGUCAGCUUUCCUCACCACAAAGCAGAGAACAAUGCUCUCUGCUGAAUGCUCUUUACUCUGUCAGGCUUUGUGAGGAGACAAUGUCAAAUGUUAUUUUUGUGCCAAAUUAUAAUCAUGACAAGAUAAUCAACUGUUUUUAUCUGAAGUCUUUUUGUUGCCGAAAAGUCUGGCAUUAACGUCGGGUUAAGCUCUCUGAGAGACCCACUUUAUACCUUCAUCUGUGUUCAUCAAACUCUCAGGGAGGCAGCAGACAGCGUGCUGGAAGGAAUUUGCAUUGUUAAUUGACCAUCUUUGGAUAACACAACAUCCCAUACUUAAAUCUGAUUUGUAAAUUUGCUGUAAAUAGAGACUGUUUUUCAGCCUCACACUGUGGAGGGUCUUAUUUUUGUUUAGUUUAAUAAACAAUAUGUUUGGAUUUUUUUAAGCACUUUUAAGUCUGAACAUCCACAUAGAGAAAUUCACUAUACUGAUCACAGUUUUGUUUUUUAUGAGAAAGUGUAAUGAAAUGAGCUUCAUUACUGGGACUAUUUUUUACUUAAGUCACUGUAUAGCACUUUAAAAGCACUUUAUGAACAAGCACUUUAAGCAUAGAUUUACACAUAAAUAAUUUGCACACAUGAAGUUUUAACUGUAUGAGUAUUUUUAGUGAUUAGCAUGUAGCCUUUUGUUCUGGGGUCUACACAGCUGCUCCUCAUUGAGAAGUGAGGUGGUUGCCCAUGAAGAGAGGAUAAUUGUUACUCAGAGCAAGGAGCUACUGAGCAAAUGUUUGUGCAUAAUCUGUUAAGUGUGGAGUGCUAAUAUGAAGUGACUCACCUGCCUUUUCUGUGUCCUCUCCAGGGUGUUUUUUCCCCAGGAAUCCAGACACCAUUUAUAGGUUCUGGGAGAGGCCAUUGAAAAGUGUGGAGGGGGGGGUCGUUUAUGGGUUUUUGUGGUGUUUCAUUAUGGUGUAAGAUAAAACAUAAAAUAGUUAUAAAAAGUAAAUGGAAAUGUUUGUAUUUAGUUUAAGGUAUUUUAUUGAAAUAGGUGGAGAUUGGUGAAUUGAGAUCCCCCUGUGAAUUGGAAGUGGUUUGGUUCGUCACAGCUGGGACUAUUUAAGCCUGCAGUUUCACCUGUGAAAUGUUUGUUGAUGCUGUGAGAAGAAUAAACCACUGCUGUUUCCACCUGACUCUGCCUCAACUAUUCUUCCUCACUGUAAAAUCCAGAUACAAAAGGCUGCCUUGU
Poecilia latipinna (sailfin molly) is the source of this 1727-nucleotide long non-coding RNA. RefSeq lists it as uncharacterized. The record is from RefSeq and is a predicted model, not a curated record. The transcript is spliced from 3 exons. Lineage: Eukaryota; Metazoa; Chordata; Actinopteri; Cyprinodontiformes; Poeciliidae.